RNAcentral lists this ribosomal RNA (442 nucleotides) under uncultured bacterium. RNAcentral's name for it is "partial 16S ribosomal RNA". It matches the Rfam family "Bacterial small subunit ribosomal RNA", at positions 338 to 795 of the family's 1533-position model. The record is from RNAcentral.
CCUACGGGAGGCAGCAGUGGGGAAUAUUGCACAAUGGGCGAAAGCCUGAUGCAGCAACGCCGCGUGAAGGAAGAAGGCCUUCGGGUCGUAAACUUCUGUCCUUGGGGAAGAGCAGAAGACGGUACCUCUUGAAUAAGCCACGGCUAACUACGUGCCAGCAGCCGCGGUAAUACGUAGGUGGCAAGCGUUGUCCGGAUUUACUGGGUGUAAAGGGCGUGCAGCCGGGAAGACAAGUCAGAUGUGAAAUCCCGCGGCUCAACCGCGGAACUGCAUUUGAAACUGUUUUUCUUGAGUACCGGAGAGGUCAUCGGAAUUCCUUGUGUAGCGGUGAAAUGCGUAGAUAUAAGGAAGAACACCAGUGGCGAAGGCGGAUGACUGGACGGCAACUGACGGUGAGGCGCGAAAGCGUGGGGAGCAAACAGGAUUAGAUACCCUUGUAGUC